This 125-nucleotide non-coding RNA is filed under the name Hoyosella subflava. Lineage: Bacteria; Bacillati; Actinomycetota; Actinomycetes; Mycobacteriales; Hoyosellaceae. The record is from RNAcentral.
AUUCUCGGCACUACCUUUGGUCAACCCGACUGCAGAUGUGGGAAUCCGGUGAAAUCCCGGGGCGGUCGCGCCACUGUAACCAGGCAUGCCUGGGAGCCAGGACUCGCUCUUCACGUCGCAUAGAC